Non-coding RNA from Xyrichtys novacula (pearly razorfish), 1158 nucleotides. The record is from the annotation of a GenBank genome assembly. Lineage: Eukaryota; Metazoa; Chordata; Actinopteri; Labriformes; Labridae.
AGGGCUUCCCCAGCCAGGACUUCGGCUCAGACUGUGGCAUAUUCAUGUUGAUGGUAGGUCAUAACGAGCUGUAAUGCACAAAUAUUGUAUCUAGAAUAACUUUCCAACAUGGACUUUUUUAAAGUUAUCUCACAUGUUGUCUCAUAAUUUUUUUUUUUUAAGUCUGCCAUGUACAUCGUUCUGGAGUAACAGUUUGACUACUCAGUUGUAAGUACUUUUCAACAGGCAGUGUCAUCCUCAAGGUUGUAUUUUGUAUUGUGCACUAAAAUGAAAUACCAACAAAAAUUUCAGCAUGACAUGCCUGUUUUGCGGCGAUGGUGGUGCCUGUUGCUCCUGGAGAACAAUUCUUUGAACAGGUAGACAGUUUAAGUAAACUAGAUGCCCUAAUUAACUGGAAGACAAUCAAUAUAUUGUACUUAAAGAUAUAUUGUCAUUACAGUUGUGGGAAAAUCUUCGCCCACUGGACCAAAGAAUGUCAAGAGCUCAUUGCUGGAAAGCAUACUCCGGUCUUCAGUCUAAAGAGGAAGGCAGAGCAGCAGGACAUAGAGGUUAGAAAAUUGCCUUCUAAAAACAGUAUUAUCUCAGUGGGAGUCCUUCAAAAUGCACACAGUUGUAUGGAUCAACAUUGUCUCGAUGUAUUUGGUAAUUGAUGUUACUUUUCAAAUUGACUUGUCAAGGAAACCAUGACGCAGACGGCAUCGGAUGUCCAAAGAAUGUGCAUGGCAGAUUCAAUGCAAUUCUGUGUCUACCAGACAUCGAACAACACAGGAGAGAGGUGUGUUGCAGACUCAAUUUAAUAAAUGCAAUUAUCGGGGCCUAUUCAGUGAUUUUCCAUGAAGUGACCACUUUUUACAUAUAGUUUAAAUGCACGAAUCAUGCGGGAAAAUUAUUUAUACAUUCAAAUGUGCUGUAGAGGUAUAAUCAAUUGGACAGCGUGUUUGUUUAAUAUUAUGUUUGUCUCUCAUUUGAUCAGAUUGCUUUACCCUGAGGUAAAAUUGAUAAAAUGGGUCCAGUGCAAGACGUGCAGGGGCUGGCUGCAUCAGGAUUGUGCCGGGAUUGACAUGGAGCCGUUUGACUGCGGCUGCGAGGACUCCAUUGAGCAUCCUCGGUAUAACAUAAUUUAUCAAGGAAACAUAGUAUCAGUCAAAAAUACGAGGC